GACCUUUCUAAUUGAUGCUGUUUUUGAGACUCUGGUAGCCAAAGAAGAAAAUCAUUUUAGGGAUGACCUCUGGAUCCUUAAUAGCCACUGAGUCACUUGCUGAACCCAAUGCUGAAACUUCUUAGUGAGCGGGCGUUGUGCUGGGGUGAGGAAUAUCCAAGGACGAUACCAGCACAGCGGAGAUGAAACGUGGACCCUGUUCUCAGGGGGCUCAGUUUUUAAGCAGAUCAAUACUCAUGUACUGGGAUCCAUUUGAAUCUAAAACUUGAGGGUCGGGGGUGAGGCCAGCAGCCAACCUCUGUAGCAGGAGAGCCAAAGAGCAAGAAGACAUUCACCACUGCAGGCUGCACCCCUUCCAUCGGUGGCUGGGAGGAAGCUGCCACGUUUUUGCUGCCGAGUGUGACUUCCGGAAUGCACUCUUCAUCGGCGCCCCCGAUUCCAAUGGCAUCCGAGGGUAACUUCCAUGCUUGUGUCUGAUUGGAUUUUUGUCUUUUCCCCAAAUUAAAAUACAUUAAAAUAAA
Long non-coding RNA from Myotis lucifugus (little brown bat), 521 nucleotides. RefSeq lists it as uncharacterized. The record is from RefSeq and is a predicted model, not a curated record. Lineage: Eukaryota; Metazoa; Chordata; Mammalia; Chiroptera; Vespertilionidae. The transcript is spliced from 2 exons.